CCUGANNGAGCACGCCGCGUGGGUGAGGAAGUUCUUCGGAACGUAAAGCCCUGUUGUACAUGACGAACGUGCUUUCUAUCAACAACGGGAAGCAAUGACGGUAGUGUACGAGGAAGCCACGGCUAACUACGUG
RNAcentral lists this ribosomal RNA (133 nucleotides) under uncultured bacterium. Its description in RNAcentral is "partial 16S ribosomal RNA". It matches the Rfam family "Bacterial small subunit ribosomal RNA", at positions 382 to 507 of the family's 1533-position model. The record is from RNAcentral.